Molecule: ribosomal RNA, 248 nt
Filed under: uncultured bacterium
Lineage: Bacteria
Description: partial 16S ribosomal RNA
Rfam family: Bacterial small subunit ribosomal RNA
Source: RNAcentral
AUACGUAGGGGGCAAGCGUUAUCCGGAUUCAUUGGGCGUAAAGCGCGCGUAGGCGGCUUGUUAAGUCAGAUGUGAAAACCGGGGGCUCAACCCGCGGCCCUGCAUCUGAAACUGGCAGGCUUGAGUCUGGUAGAGGAAAGUGGAAUUCCUGGUGUAGCGGUGAAAUGCGCAGAUAUCAGGAGGAACACCAGUGGCGAAGGCGGCUUUCUGGGCCACGACUGACGCUGAGGCGCGAAAGCUAGGGGAGC